AGUAUAGACCCAUGAUGAAAGAUUUCAAAGGCAAUAGCCAUUGCUCCAAAAUAGCUUGGUUAAUGUUUGCAGACUGGUUCAGCUCUUUUCUCCCUCCUGCCUGUCAAAAAGGUGCUAUUCCUGUGAUUAAAACCAUUACAGUCCUUCAAAGGUUAUACAUGACUUUCAGGCUUCAGCCUCAAUAGCAGCAGAUCUGGCCUAGAUGCUGUGAUUGGAAAAGCCAUGCUGUAUAAUUUCACAAUAAUUACCUAUUGUAUUCCACUGCCUUGGCUGAGAGACAAAGGAAGAAAGAGAAGACCGUCGCUGAGGGACAUCUUGAGACUACCUGUGGCCAAAGUGAUGGAUGAGGCCCAUCCUUGGCCAAAGGGAAGCCACUUAGCAGAAUCUGGGAAUCACGUCCCUGUACACCAUGGUUCCUGAUGCUUGGUUUCCCUCUUCUUUCAUUCCUAUUAACCUAGAUGUCUCAUCUUUACCUUUCAGAUAAUUGGCUGAAUAUGUUGUCCUCGUAUCGAUAAUCUAUAUAAAACCAGCAAGCUAUGAGAUGAACAGCACACAGCAAACAACACAGCAAAGUGAUCUCUUUUUAGCACCGUGCCCUCAAAAUGUCAUCUCUGUAAGACAUAUGAGCUAAUCCACUUGUACUAUGUUUCUUAUCUUCCAUCGGUAAAUAUACCGGGUCACCAUUUAGCUGUGAUAAUACAUAGUUUCUGAAUGCUAUAACCUAAAGGAAGUUAAGUUGAUGCCAUCAAAACAUUUACUGUGGUGGUGUCAGGGUGUGAUAAACUCACCUAUCAAAUGCAGAAACGCUUGACACAAUUUCAAAACCACAAGUCUAGUCAACUGAUUUAAAAAUGAUUGAUUACGUAAAAUUAAUCAAACCAGUGAUUUUAUGGAAUUUAAGCAGACAGCACAGCUAACGAAAUUUAUAGGUUAUUCCCCUAUAAACAUUAAUGUAGCAAACCGUGUGCCCCUUCGUUUCUUCAAGAUCCAAAGUUUCCUUAACUAAGUGGAGGCUGCAGAAACUGGCUUUUUAUACAAUUAAUGUUCCACAACCAGAUGAGACUUUCUAACUGAAAAGGUUGGAACAUUUUCUAUCUUCUUCCAGCCAUAACUAUCACUGAAAUCUAUUGCAUUCAUGAUAUACUGUGGAUCAGAACAACAUACAAAGUUCCACACUCUCAGAGCCUGAUACAGAGGAAAUAGAAAGCUGUGAUUUACUCAGAGAAGUCCUAGGGAAACAAUUUCUCCUAAGGAAAUAUAUUUUUAAAAUCUUCCAUUAUAACUCAUCCAAAAAGAAGCUAUUGAGCACUGAACACUUUAUAACUCUAAAAUAUUAAUAUCUUUACCUAUAUUAUUUUACAUAAAUCUUUCAAGGCAGAUAAUAUCACCAUUUUCCAAACAAGGAGACUGAGGUUUAUAGAAAUUAAAUUAUUUUCUCAAGUGGUAGAGCCAAGAUUUGAAUCCAGGUCUAAAUCCUGCAUUUGUAUUGUAAUGGUUGUAAAAUUUGUGCCGGCAGAGCCACGUAAUUACUUAAUCUGGGCCGUGGUUUCCUCAUCUGUGAAGUGGAACUAACACUGGCACCUAACAGAGUUUCUGAACCUCAGCACGACUGACUGUGGGUUAGAUAACGCUUUGCUGGAGGGGCUGUCCUAUGCCCUGAAGGACAGGUAGCAGCAUCCCUGGGCUCUCCGCUCGCUAGAUGCCACUAGCUCAGCCCGCACAAUUGUGACAACCCAACCGAAAAUGGCUCCAGACAUUGCCUAAUGUCCCCUGGAGAGUAAAAUCACUGGUUGAGAACCACCGACCUAAAUUAAAGGAUAGCUGUGAAGAGCCCAUCAGUGAAUACAUACAAAGAGUCUCAGAGUAUGUCUGGCCCAGAAUAUUUAAUGUUAGAUAGGUUGGUGGUGAAGGAGAAGGAGGAGGGGAGGAGGGGGAAGAGAAGAAGUAGUAGCCAUAGUAGGGAGAGCAGGAGGGGGAGAGGAAGGCGGAGAAAAGGAAGAAGAAGAAAUAUACUUGCAUCUGACUGAAUUGUAUUGACGUUUUAUUCAGGCCUGACUGGGUGGAUAUAAUUGAAAAACUCAGAGUUGAUCAGAAAGAAAAUAAAAUUUAAAAAGACAGAUAAGGAAACUGAGGCACAGAUUUGAGGAAAUUGCC
Molecule: long non-coding RNA, 2154 nt
Organism: Balaenoptera musculus (blue whale)
Lineage: Eukaryota; Metazoa; Chordata; Mammalia; Artiodactyla; Balaenopteridae
Exons: 4
Source: RefSeq, a predicted model, not a curated record